This 219-nucleotide ribosomal RNA is filed under the name uncultured bacterium. RNAcentral describes it as "partial 16S ribosomal RNA". It matches the Rfam family "Bacterial small subunit ribosomal RNA", at positions 1281 to 1500 of the family's 1533-position model. The record is from RNAcentral.
GACGAUCUCAGUUCGGACUGCAGGCUGCAACUCGCCUGCACGAAGUUGGAAUUGCUAGUAAUCGUGGAUCAGCAUGCCACGGUGAAUACGUUCCCGGGUCUUGUACACACCGCCCGUCACACCAUGAGAGUUGGGAAUACCCGAAGCCUGUGAGCUAACUUUUAGAGGCAGCAGUCGAAGGUAGAAUCAAUGAUUGGGGUGAAGUCGUAACAAGGUACC